Dermochelys coriacea (leatherback sea turtle) is the source of this 233-nucleotide long non-coding RNA. RefSeq lists it as uncharacterized. Lineage: Eukaryota; Metazoa; Chordata; Testudines; Dermochelyidae. The transcript is spliced from 3 exons. The record is from RefSeq and is a predicted model, not a curated record.
GCGGAGCGGAGCCCUGUGGGGCAGUCAGCUUCAGAUUAUGUAAGGUGCCCCUUACCUCUCCCCCCCCACACACACACACACAUUUUCACCCAGAUUGGGGAGUAACACUCUGCAGAUGAAUUUUUGAACUCUGAGGCUAGACUUUUGGGUUGUUGGAUUUUUUGGACUUUGGAUGAUUUUUGGGUUGCUGGACGCAAGAGAUGUUUGGGUUGUUGGACUCAAGAACCUGAGGG